Molecule: ribosomal RNA, 409 nt
Filed under: uncultured microorganism
Description: bacterial SSU rRNA
Rfam family: Bacterial small subunit ribosomal RNA
Source: RNAcentral
CAGCCGCCGCGGUAAUACGUAGGGUGCAAGCGUUAAUCGGAAUUACUGGGCGUAAAGCGUGCGCAGGCGGUUCGGAAAGAAAGAUGUGAAAUCCCAGAGCUUAACUUUGGAACUGCAUUUUUAACUACCGGGCUAGAGUGUGUCAGAGGGAGGUGGAAUUCCGCGUGUAGCAGUGAAAUGCGUAGAUAUGCGGAGGAACACCGAUGGCGAAGGCAGCCUCCUGGGAUAACACUGACGCUCAUGCACGAAAGCGUGGGGAGCAAACAGGAUUAGAUACCCUGGUAGUCCACGCCCUAAACGAUGUCAACUAGCUGUUGGGGCCUUCGGGCCUUGGUAGCGCAGCUAACGCGUGAAGUUGACCGCCUGGGGAGUACGGUCGCAAGAUUAAAACUUAAAGGAAUUUGGCGGG